This 470-nucleotide ribosomal RNA is filed under the name Streptococcus intermedius. Its description in RNAcentral is "bacterial SSU rRNA". It matches the Rfam family "Bacterial small subunit ribosomal RNA", at positions 28 to 472 of the family's 1533-position model. The record is from RNAcentral. Lineage: Bacteria; Bacillati; Bacillota; Bacilli; Lactobacillales; Streptococcaceae.
GACGAACGCUGGCGGCGUGCCUAAUACAUGCAAGUAGAACGCACAGGAUGCACCGUAGUUUACUACACCGUAUUCUGUGAGUUGCGAACGGGUGAGUAACGCGUAGGUAACCUGCCUGGUAGCGGGGGAUAACUAUUGGAAACGAUAGCUAAUACCGCAUAAGAACAUUUACUGCAUGGUAGAUGUUUAAAAGGUGCAAAUGCAUCACUACCAGAUGGACCUGCGUUGUAUUAGCUAGUAGGUGAGGUAACGGCUCACCUAGGCGACGAUACAUAGCCGACCUGAGAGGGUGAUCGGCCACACUGGGACUGAGACACGGCCCAGACUCCUACGGGAGGCAGCAGUAGGGGAUCCUCGGCAAUGGGGGGAACCCUGACCGAGCAACGCCGCGUGAGUGAAGAAGGUUUUCGGAUCGUAAAGCUCUGUUGUUAAGGAAGAACGAGUGUGAGAAUGGAAAGUUCAUACUGUGA